AUUGCCCUAGUAACGGCGACUGAAGCGGCAACAGCUCAAAUUUGAAAUCUGGCCUUCGGGUCCGAGUUGUAAUUUGUAGAGGAUGCUUUUGGUGAGGUGCCUUCCGAGUUCCCUGGAACGGGACGCCAUAGAGGGUGAGAGCCCCGUCUGGUUGGACACCGAUCCUCUGUAAAGCUCCUUCAACGAGUCGAGUAGUUUGGGAAUGCUGCUCUAAAUGGGAGGUAUAUGUCUUCUAAAGCUAAAUAUUGGCCAGAGACCGAUAGCGCACAAGUAGAGUGAUCGAAAGAUGAAAAGCACUUUGAAAAGAGAGUUAAAAAGUACGUGAAAUUGUUGAAAGGGAAGCGCUCAUGACCAGACUUGGGCUUGGUUGAUCAUCCAGGGUUCUCCCUGGUGCACUCUUCCAGUUCAGGCCAGCAUCAGUUCGCUGCGGGGGAUAAAGGCUUUGGGAAUGUGGCUCCCUCGGGAGUGUUAUAGCCCAUUGUGUAAUACCCUGUGGUGGACUGAGGACCGCGCUUCGGCAAGGAUGCUGGCGUAAUGGUCAUCAGUGACCCGUCUUGAAACACGGACCAAGGAGUCGUCUUCGUAUGCGAGUGUUCGGGUGUUAAACCCCUACGCGUAAUGAAAGUGAACGCAGGUGAGAGCUUCGGCGCAUCAUCGACCGAUCCUGAUGUUCUCGGAUGGAUUUGAGUAAGAGCAUACGGGGCCGGACCCGAAAGAAGGUGAACUAUGCCUGUAUAGGGUGAAGCCAGAGGAAACUCUGGUGGAGGCUCGCAGCGGUUCUGACGUGCAAAUCGAUCGUCAAAUAUGGGCAUGGGGGCGAAAGACUAAU
RNAcentral lists this ribosomal RNA (829 nucleotides) under Dactylonectria ecuadoriensis. Its description in RNAcentral is "LSU rRNA". It matches the Rfam family "Eukaryotic large subunit ribosomal RNA", at positions 74 to 935 of the family's 3401-position model. Lineage: Eukaryota; Fungi; Ascomycota; Sordariomycetes; Hypocreales; Nectriaceae. The record is from RNAcentral.